This 94-nucleotide small RNA is filed under the name Chinchilla lanigera (long-tailed chinchilla). RNAcentral describes it as "TUC338 (ENSCLAG00000019192.1)". Lineage: Eukaryota; Metazoa; Chordata; Mammalia; Rodentia; Chinchillidae. The record is from RNAcentral.
CAGGAUAGAUACAUCACAGGCAGCAACAGUACAAGGUUUCCCUACACCACCUCGGCAUAUGCCUCAACCCUGACCUGCAGGGAACCCCUCUCAA